AAAAAUAUCAAUUUUUUUAAAGAUAAAAUGAAUUGGUUUUCAGUUCUUGGCCUGGUGGGCCUUACUGUAGCAGCAAAUGUGGAGGUUAUCUUGGAUGCAAGGUCCCCUUUAACCCGUGAAGUAUAUGGGUCUCCAGAAACAAAAACCAUUCUAACUGUUGACCAGGAAUAUGUUGAUAAUAUACAGAGCAAAGUAAAAGAAGAAGAUCUGACUGCAGCAGUUCUUCUGGUUGAUGAUGCUAGUACGGAGGAAUCCUGUAAUCUAGUUCCAUGUUUUGAUGACCUAGAAGAGUAUGUGAACAGUUCAUAUCCCCAGAAGAUUGAAAUAUCGUAUCCGGAAGAUUUAAGCUUUGAGGGACUUAAAAAAUCGCUGGAGUUGGAAAGAAUUCUACUGAUUGAUGUGAGGAAUAGAUCUGAGCUAGUGGAUCCAGGACAAAUUCCAGGCAGCGUUAACCUUCCCCUUCAUGAGAUCCCUCAAGCUUUUGAGCUGAGCCCUCAACAAUUUGAAGAAAAGUAUAAUUUCACUGUUCCUGAACCCCUGGAUAGAAAUAUUGUCCUCACCUGCAGAUCUGGAAAAAGAAUAUUGGUUGCAAAGGAAAGAAUGGAAGCUCUUGGUUAUGAAUAUCUAAGGCUGUACCGGGGUAGCUUUAAUGACUGGGUUGCAAAUGGUGGCGAUAUCAUUUAGUUUAUUAAUAAAGAAAUAUAUCUAUAUUAUAUAUAAAUAUAUUUAUAUUAUAUUCAAAUAUAUUUAUAUUAUAUAAAAAUACAUUUUGUAUAUCAACGAUGCUGUCGAUUAACGUUAAUCAGAUUUUUAUAUAUUGACUUUUGCUCUUUUUAUGAUGUAUAUGUAUGUUGUAUGAACCUAAAUCGUAAUAAAAGUAGAGUAGUAAUUA
Molecule: unclassified non-coding RNA, 892 nt
Filed under: Eurytemora carolleeae
Lineage: Eukaryota; Metazoa; Arthropoda; Copepoda; Calanoida; Temoridae
Description: thiosulfate sulfurtransferase/rhodanese-like domain- containing protein 3
Source: RNAcentral